Molecule: transfer RNA, 73 nt
Filed under: Listeria monocytogenes
Lineage: Bacteria; Bacillati; Bacillota; Bacilli; Caryophanales; Listeriaceae
Description: tRNA-Lys
Rfam family: tRNA
About the family: Transfer RNA (tRNA) molecules are approximately 80 nucleotides in length. Their secondary structure includes four short double-helical elements and three loops (D, anti-codon, and T loops). Further hydrogen bonds mediate the characteristic L-shaped molecular structure. tRNAs have two regions of fundamental functional importance: the anti-codon, which is responsible for specific mRNA codon recognition, and the 3' end, to which the tRNAs corresponding amino acid is attached (by aminoacyl-tRNA synthetases). tRNAs cope with the degeneracy of the genetic code in two manners: having more than one tRNA (with a specific anti-codon) for a particular amino acid; and 'wobble' base-pairing, i.e. permitting non-standard base-pairing at the 3rd anti-codon position.
Source: RNAcentral
GAGCCGGUAGCUCAGGUGGUAGAGCAUCGGACUUUUAAUCAGAGGGUCGCUGGUUCGAACCCAGCACGGCUCA